RNAcentral lists this ribosomal RNA (505 nucleotides) under uncultured bacterium. RNAcentral's name for it is "partial 16S ribosomal RNA". It matches the Rfam family "Bacterial small subunit ribosomal RNA", at positions 28 to 507 of the family's 1533-position model. The record is from RNAcentral.
GACGAACGCUGGCGGCGUGCCUAAUACAUGCAAGUAGAACGCACAGUUUAUACCGUAGCUUGCUACACCAUAGACUGUGAGUUGCGAACGGGUGAGUAACGCGUAGGUAACCUGCCUGGUAGCGGGGGAUAACUAUUGGAAACGAUAGCUAAUACCGCAUAAUAUUAAUUAUUGCAUGAUAAUUAAUUGAAAGGUGCAAUUGCACCACUACCAGAUGGACCUGCGUUGUAUUAGCUAGUAGGUGAGGUAACGGCUCACCUAGGCGACGAUACAUAGCCGACCUGAGAGGGUGAUCGGCCACACUGGGACUGAGACACGGCCCAGACUCCUACGGGAGGCAGCAGUAGGGAAUCUUCGGCAAUGGACGAAAGUCUGACCGAGCAACGCCGCGGGAGUGAAGAAGGGUUUCGGAUCGUAAAGCUCGGUUGUAAGAGAAGAACGGGUGUGAGAGUGGAAAGUUCACACUGUGACGGUAUCUGACCAGAAAGGGACGGCUAACUACGUG